UGAGGAAUCUUGCGCAAUGGGGGAAACCCUGACGCAGCAACGCCGCGUGAGUGAGGAAGGCCUUCGGGUCGUAAAGCUCUGUCAGAUGGGAAGAAAUGGGUGGGGGCUAAUAUCGUCCAUCCUUGACGGUACCAUCAGAGGAAGCACCGGCUAACUCCGUGCCAGCAGCCGCGGUAAUACGGGGGGUGCAAGCGUUGUUCGGAAUCAUUGGGCGUAAAGCGCGCGCAGGCGGCUUGGUAAGUCAGAUGUGAAAUCCCUGGGCUUAACCCAGGAAGUGCAUUUGAUACUGCCUCGCUAGAGUACGGGAGAGGAAAGUGGAAUUCCUGGUGUAGAGGUGAAAUUCGUAGAUAUCAGGAGGAACACCGGUGGCGAAGGCGACUUUCUGGCCCGAUACUGACGCUCAGGCGCGAAAGCGUGGGGAGCAAACAGG
RNAcentral lists this ribosomal RNA (430 nucleotides) under uncultured bacterium. RNAcentral's name for it is "bacterial SSU rRNA". It matches the Rfam family "Bacterial small subunit ribosomal RNA", at positions 355 to 776 of the family's 1533-position model. The record is from RNAcentral.